UACGAAGGUCCCAAGCGUUGCUCGGAAUCAUUGGGCGUAAAGCGGGUGCGGGUGGCUUUGUAAGUCAGGAGUGAAAGCCCAGGGCUCAACCCUGGAAGUGCUUUUGAAACUGCAAAGCUUGAGUGUGAGAGAGGAUACUGGAAUUCCUGGUGUAGUGGUGAAAUACGUAGAGAUCAGGAGGAACACCUGAGGUGAAGACGGGUUGCUGGGCCAACACUGACGCUGAUGCGCGAAAGCCAGGGGAGCAAACGGG
RNAcentral lists this ribosomal RNA (253 nucleotides) under uncultured bacterium. RNAcentral's name for it is "partial 16S ribosomal RNA". It matches the Rfam family "Bacterial small subunit ribosomal RNA", at positions 524 to 776 of the family's 1533-position model. The record is from RNAcentral.